AUGCUGGCAUUCCGGGAUACUCUGGAAAUAUGUGGUCUUGUUGAUUUGGGGUUCGUGGGUAUCCCUUUUACAUAUGAUAACAAGAGGGGAGGGGCCGGCAAUGUCCAGGUCCGUUUGGACCGAGCUGUGGCAACGAAUGAGUGGAGGAACCUUUUUUCCUUCACCUCGGUAGUUCAUGUACCUUCACCAUGCUCUGAUCAUGUUGCGGUGGUACUAAAAGCUUCAUCUGACCAAGGGCCGCAAGGUGGCAAACAGAGACGCUAUGAAUUGUUUUGGGAGAGAGAUGAUGCGCUCCCGGAGGUAAUCAGAGAGGCUUGGGAAUCACUUGGUAAUGUUCAUAACCUAGCACAGCUCCGGGAUGCUUUGUCAAGGACAAUAAGUACUUUGGGUAUGUGGAGU
This 399-nucleotide ribosomal RNA is filed under the name Triticum aestivum (bread wheat). RNAcentral describes it as "partial small subunit ribosomal RNA". The record is from RNAcentral. Lineage: Eukaryota; Viridiplantae; Streptophyta; Magnoliopsida; Poales; Poaceae.